GAAAUGCGAUACGUAAUGUGAAUUGCAGAAUUCCGUGAAUCAUCGAAUCCUCGAACGCAUAUUGCGCUUCUGGGUAUUCCUAGAAGCACGCCUGUUUGAGUAUCAGUGUUAACCCUCAAACAAAAAUGAUAUUCUAUGUAUCGUUUUUUUGUUUGGAAAUGGAUUUUCCGCGAACUGACCAUCACGAAUGAUCUUCGCGAAAUCUGAAAUAUAGAGAAAGGCAGUUCCAAAUCGGAACCAAAGGCUAGAUAAGAAAUUUCCCAUUUUUUUGGGCCAAUUUCAAAAAAGCUGAUAAAGUUCCUCGGAUCUGAUUUCCUUCAAUAACCAAAAAAUCCGGGCGCGAUUCUAUCGCGAAUCCGCGAAUUUGAUCUCAAAUCAGGCGAGACUACCCGCUGAACUU
RNAcentral lists this unclassified non-coding RNA (400 nucleotides) under uncultured fungus. RNAcentral's name for it is "sequence contains ITS1". The stretch from base 1 to 105 matches the Rfam family "5.8S ribosomal RNA", at positions 50 to 154 of the family's 154-position model. The record is from RNAcentral. Lineage: Eukaryota; Fungi.